This 446-nucleotide ribosomal RNA is filed under the name uncultured bacterium. Its description in RNAcentral is "SSU rRNA". It matches the Rfam family "Bacterial small subunit ribosomal RNA", at positions 26 to 518 of the family's 1533-position model. The record is from RNAcentral.
AGAACGAACGCUGGCGGCAUGCCUAACACAUGCAAGUCGAACGGGACCUUCGGGUCUAGUGGCGCACGGGUGCGUAACGCGUGGGGAUCUGCCCUUAGGUACGGAAUAACUCAGGGAAACUUGAGCUAAUACCGUAUAAUGACUUCGGUCCAAAGAUUUAUCGCCUAGGGAUGAACCCGCGUAGGAUUAGCUUGUUGGUGAGGUAAAGGCUCACCAAGGCGACGAUCCUUAGCUGGUCUGAGAGGAUGAUCAGCCACACUGGGACUGAGACACGGCCCAGACUCCUACGGGAGGCAGCAGUGGGGAAUAUUGGACAAUGGGCGAAAGCCUGAUCCAGCAAUGCCGCGUGAGUGAUGAAGGCCUUAGGGUUGUAAAGCUCUUUUACCCGGGAUGAUAAUGACAGUACCGGGAGAAUAAGCUCCGGCUAACUCCGUGCCAGCAGCCGC